Pristionchus pacificus is the source of this 73-nucleotide non-coding RNA. The record is from Rfam. Lineage: Eukaryota; Metazoa; Nematoda; Chromadorea; Rhabditida; Neodiplogasteridae.
CCAACCAUAGCUCAGUUGGUAGAGCGGAGGACUGUAGAUCCUUAGGUCACUGGUUCGAAUCCGGUUGGUUGGA